CCCACACCCGAACACCCCUGAACACUGGGUCUAAGUUAUUUCUAACUCUCAUCUAGAGUACUUAGACUGUGCUAGUCCUGUUUUUGAAGCUCAUUUAGUAAUUUUAUUUCUUUCAUCUACCCACACAUGUAAUGAAGAGGGCAGGGUUUGUUAGCAGCAAAUUUUGCUCUCACUGAGGUCAGUUUCUGAUGCUGAAAAUGGUGGAUAAUGGAGAAAGAGGCUUCAAAGGCAACAUCAAGACAUUUUGAGAGCAACUAGGGCAAAUUUAAGAGAGUUAAUUGACACUGCCAUAAAAAUGGGAAACACCUGAGCAAAUACACCACAGAUCAAGAGAGAGAGAAAUGUUCUACAGAAGAUCAGAAGGAAAAGGAAAAAGGUAAAAGAAAUGCAUUCCAAAACAAGAGAAGCAUCAACUCUGGAAGCUGACUGUUCUCAGAAAGAUGUCACCCAGCAGUCACUUCCUAACUAAUGAUUGCACAGCUACUUUCAUAAUCAGAGGUGUGGGCUCUCAGGACUUGCACCAGUACUACUCUGGCAUUCACUAUCCAACAGCUUUUUCAUAACCGUAACAGUUAUUUACCAGUGAAAUGGGCUUCAUCAGAGUGAAGGCUGCAUCUUUGUUUUGGGAAAUAACCACUGUUCAAAGAGAACAGAUUGUUAGCAUGGCUCCUAUUUGAUAACACUUCUAACCAUGUUCUGUACUUAUCCAAACUACUUCAGUAUUUUCUUCUCUCUUCUUUAGUUUCUUUAGUAUUGUCUACUUGUCCAUCCUUUUAUUCCUUCCUAAAGUGCUUUAGAGACAAAUUAAGGUAUAUGGGAAUUAGUUUUUUCUGAAUGGUUAAUGGAUGUUUCUGCCUAGUGAAAUGGAGCCAAAAAACUCAAAAUGACAUUUAUUUUCCAGUUUUAGCAAACCUGAAAAAAACUUACUGUAAUAGGAAUAGAGUCAUAUAAAAUUUUUCACUUGUCUGUAUCUCUGAAAAUAUUAGUAGUUUUGUAGUAGUAGUAGAUAUUGUAGUUUAAUUUUGUUUUUCAGAAUUCCCAACUUUUAAAAAUAGGAAUCUGUUUCAGAUUGACAACUGUGAAUCUUCUACAAAUAA
RNAcentral lists this long non-coding RNA (1097 nucleotides) under Numida meleagris (helmeted guineafowl). RNAcentral describes it as "lncRNA (ENSNMEG00000018649.1)". Lineage: Eukaryota; Metazoa; Chordata; Aves; Galliformes; Numididae. The record is from RNAcentral.